AUGUCGGGGAGAGACUGGCUGGAAACCUCCUGGUUUAACCAAACAGGAGGACUCUUGGUUCCUCGCAGCUGCUGCAACUCUACUUUCCCCUCCUGCAAUGGCACUGUGGACCAGCCAUGGCAGCUUUAUGAAAAGGACUGCCAGGUGAAGCUGGAGAUGGCCUUACAGUUUGAGUUUCAUCAUCUGGGGCUCCCUGCUGUUUAUUGUUGCGGAGGAUGCAGCGGUCAGGUGACUGUGACUCAGCCUGCAGUAGUGACAUCUACACCAGGAUCCACUGUCACUCUCACCUGUAAGAUCAACCCUGCUACUUAUUCCAACUAUAUUGGUGCUGAUCUCAGUUGGUACCUUCAGAAACCUGGACAGGCUCCCAAACUUCUUAUAUACAAAGCAUCAACUCUCUUCUCUGGAACUCCGUCUCGAUUCAGUGGCAGUAGAUCUGGUUCUGACUACACUUUGACCAUCAGCGGUGUUCAGGCUGAAGAUGUUGGAGAUUACUACUGUCUGGGUGCCCAUGUUGGUGGAGUGUUCACACAGUGA
This is a non-coding RNA of Micropterus salmoides (largemouth bass), 537 nucleotides long. The record is from the annotation of a RefSeq genome assembly. Lineage: Eukaryota; Metazoa; Chordata; Actinopteri; Centrarchiformes; Centrarchidae.